AAUAAGAAAUCCGCCGUUUUAACAAACAGAGACCUCCCCUAUGGACAGAGCUCCUUCUUCAGAGAAGAAGAGCGUCUACCAUGGCUGUCGCUUAACCCAAAACCAGCCUUUUCUUCUCCACAACGCCAACCAACCCUGACCCCAUCGUCGGCGAACCAAACAACACCUUUUAUCUUCGCUUUAUUCAACCUAGAACGACCUCACACCAGCAGCACAAAACGCACACACAUUCUCACAAACGGACAGAAAGGAUGUCUCCUCCCUUACAAUUCCUCUCUUGAUUAGCUUCUAUCUCUCCGGCAAGUUGGCCGAAUUUGCGGAGCUACAUGAUGGCCACUGCUCCUCAAUUUUCCAUCGUCGUUCUGUCCACUCUUUGACCAUCGUUGUUGUCAAAACAUUGACUGAAUUCCAUUGCAGCAAUCUGUACAAAGAUAUACAUACAAAGGGGAGGAACCUCGUUUUGGACUUGCAAAAAAAGGCUAGAAGAAACUUUUCUUUGUUAUCUGAAACUUUAGUUAUUAGAUUUCAAAAAAUAAUUAAAAAAGGAAGUAAUAUAUUCCAAAAGAUGAAAAUUUUUGUUUUUUUCUCUCCAUUUUGGACUUAGGUUUUCGAAGAAUGAAUUUCAGUCUGAGUUGGGGUGUUGUUCGAACUUUGAUCUUGGUUGGUGGAUCCUGACUGCGAAUCUCAUUGCCGGGUUCGCUGUUACUGAAUUUUCAUACAUAGAAAGGAAAGCUUCCUGAAGGUUCAUUUCUUUCUCCUUAACUCUUCAUCCUGUGAGUGGUGUAAUUAAAUUAUGAUAAGAUCUUUGGGGUUUAAUUGGAUUUAAGGUCUUAGAAUUAGUUAAUUUGUGUAAAUUUGAUUAGCAUAUUUUCAUUACUGGUAUGAGUUUGUCGUUUGAUUCUGAAUUGGUUAGUAAUAGCAUUUUCAUCGACAUAUGGUGUUUCUUACAUGUUGAAUGAAUUGCUAAUUUCAUGGGGCUAUCACAUGCUUUGGAUUGACAUUCAUGGUCGAAUACUCUUUGUCGGCCUUUAGUGUUAAGUUGUUUUCUAAAAGACCUCAUAAAGCAGAGUGCUAUUUGUUUUAACUUUUUCUGUUCAAAUUGACGAUGAACAGAGUUUAGCCAUGUGAAGUUAGGCGAAGUUCGGAAAACUUUUGAUUGAAACGUUAACUAUUAAAUUUUCACCUACAUACUUUAGGAUCGCUCUUAACUAAUUAUAUCAUCGUGAUUAUGUACAUGUUCGCGUGACAUAAUUACGAUCUUGAAAACAAAAUCGGAGUAUGCGUUCGCGCAACUUCGGCUAAAACUUUCUUAAUAAUAAUAAAGCGUUGCUAAUUGUGGACACGUUCGCGUGACAUGAUUUUUGACGCGCCAAACAAAUGGGUACACGUACGCGUGAUCCAUUUCAAGAUUAUUUUUUAAUUAAAAGAGAUAAAAGCACAUAGGUUCCAAAAUAAGUAAUUAGACAAUUUUAAUAAGCUAAGUAAUAAUCGCUAAGCGACCGUGCUAGAACCACGGAACUAGGGAAUGCCUAACACCUUUUCCCGAAUUAAUAGAAUUCCUUACCUGAAUUUUUGUGUUCGCAGACCGUAAAUAGAGUCAACUUCCUCGAUUCGGGGUUUUAAACCGGUGACUUGGGACACCAUAAAUUAUCCCAAGUGGUGACUCUAAAUUUAAUAUAAAUAAUCCUGUUUUGAUUGUCACUUAAAUUGGAAAAACUCCCUUAUACUCCCUUCCGGGGUGUAGGUAAAAAAAAGGUGUGACAGCCAUUACGACCGGGUCCGGGUUUAGGGUUGUGAUAAGUUAGUAUCACAGCCUAGGUUAUAUAGGCCUCAAGAGUAAUGAGCAGGUUUAGUAGAGUCUCACGGAUCUGUACGGAAACGUCUGUAUUUAUCCUCGAGAAGCUGCAGAACCUUUAGGAAAAACUUCACAUUCUUGAAAUUCUUGUCGUGCGAAUUUGUUGAUCAGAGUACUAAACUUCGGUUAUUAUAUUCUCUCACAGAUGGUGAGGACACGUGCUACCGAUCAGGAUAGACGAUAACCAAUACCACUGGUUGUGGCCACCAGAGGCCAAGGACGCGGUCGUGGACGUGGCAGGGGCAGAGCAGCUAGGGCAGCACCUGCCGAUCCACCAGCUGCCCUAGUUUAGGAUCAGGUCCCAGUUAUGGACGCUUUUGCAGCACUAGCUCAGGCACCAGCUGUGCUCAUUAUGAUUCUGGGUCUUCAACAGGCCUUGGCUCAGAUCUUAUCAGUUUGCACUGGCCUAGCUCAAGCGGUUUCAGCCACUACAGCCGCAACUACUUCUCAGGCCGGGGGAGACAAUCAGACUCCCACCGCUCGCACACCUGAGCAGAUCAUGCAAGGACUUUAGACGCCGAGGGAAUAUCUAGCCUAGCCGGUUGCAGCUGCUCAGGAGUAUGUAGUUUCUGCUAUGCCGGAGGAUAAGCAGCAUUGGUUGGAGAGGUUUGGUAGACUGUAGCCUCCGACCUUUAGUGGUGCAAAAGGCGAGGAUGCCUAGGGGUUCUUGGAUAAGUGUUGGAGGAUGCUUCAGACAAUAGGUAUUCUGGAGACCAGCGAGGUCGCUUUCACUACUUAUCAAUUUUCAGGAGUUGCUUUCUCUUGGUGGGAGAAUUUUGAGAGGCGUAGGCCUGUUGGUGCAGCACCCCUUACCUGGCAGCAGUUCUCCGUUCUCUUUCAGUAGAAGUAUGUGCCGCAGUCUCGAAGAGAAGAGAUGCGUAGGCAGAUUGAAUGGUUGCGUUAGGGGGGAAAUGACCGUGUCAUAGUAUGAGUUAAGGUUCUCCGAGUUACCUCGCCAUGCCAUUUCGAUGGUCCCGACAGAUAGAGAGAGGAUUAAGAGGUUUGUUGAUGGCAUCACUUAUCAACUUCGUAUUCGCAUGACCAGGGAGAGGGUGAUUGGUGUUACUUUUGAGGAGGUUGUGUAUAUUGCCUGUGAGAUUGAGUCUGUUCGUCACCAAGAGCGCGAGGAGAGGGAGGCCAAGAGGCCUCGAGGAUCUGGUAGUUACAGUGGUACUUCUUUGAAGGGUUAGUUUCAGCACGGCAGAGGCCGUCCAUUCAGGCAUGCUUAGCCAGCAUGCCCAGGUUAUCGUGGGGCAUCAUCGGGUCAUGGUUCUCACAAUUCUCAUCAGGGACAGUCAUUACUUAGUGCCCUUCCAGCUAAGAGUUUGUCCCGUGCUCUAUCAUUGUAGGGCUCUUCUAUGUCGAAUGCAUUUUCUAGUCACUCCGGUGUGAGAGGUUCCCUUCAGCCCCCUUCUCCAGCCCCUGAGAGUUUGUAUGAGUGUGGUGAGAUGGGUCAUAUGUGUAGGAAGUGCCCUCAUCAUCUUGCGAGCUCAUCUCAGCAGAGGGGUCAGUCAUCAGUUUCAGCGCCAAUUACUUCACCACCACUUGUCUAGCCAGCUAGGGGUGGAGGUCAGUCGGCUAGGGGUCGCCCCAGAGGUGGAGGUCGAUCAGGUGGCGAUCAAGCCCGCUUCUAUGCACUUCCAGGCAGACCAUAUGCUAUCGCUUCAAAUGCUGUUAUUACAGGUAUUGUUUCAGUCUACCAUAGAGAUGCCUUUGUAUUAUUUGAUCUCGGUUCCACAUUUUCUUAUGUGUCAUCAUACUUUGCUCGUUAUAUAGGUAUGCCCCGUGAGUUUCUUGCUUUACCUGUUCAUGCAUCUACCCCGGUAGGUGAUACUAUUAUUGUAGACCAUGUGUACCGGUCGUGUGUGGUUACUAUUGGGGGCCUGGAGAUCCAUGUGGAUCAUAUAUUAUUGUGUAUGGUGGAUUUCGAUGUCAUUUUGGGCAUGGAUUGGCUAUCUCCACUUCGUGCUAUUCUGGACUGUCAUGCUAAGACAGUCACAUUAGCUAUCUCGGGUGUGCUACGAAUUGAGUAGCGAGGUGUGACUGAUUAUGUUCCUAGUAGAGUGAUCUCAUUCUUGAAAGCCUAGUGUAUGGUUGGAAAUGGUUGUCUUUCGUAUCUAGCUUUUGUGAGGGAUGUCGGAGCUGAGACUCGCAGUAUUGAUUCUAUCCCAAUUGUGAGGGAUUUUCCCGAUGUGUUUUCUGCAGACCUGCCGGGCAUGCCACCAGAUAGGGAUAUUAAUUUUGGUAUUUACCUGGUGUCGGGCACUUAGCACAUUUCAAUUCAGCCGUAUCAUAUAGCACCAGCGGAGUUGAAGGAAUUAAAAGAGAAGCUUCAGGAACUCCUUGAUAAAGGAUUCAUUCGGCCUAGUGUGUCACCUUGGGGUAUGCCAGUUCUAUUUGUGAAGAAGAAGGAUGCCACUAUGAGAAUGUGCAUUGAUUAUAGGCAAUUGAACAAAGUAACAAUUAAGAACAAGUAUACUUUGCCUCGCAUUAAUGAUUUAUUCGACCAGCUUCAGGGAGUGAGGGUGUUCUCCAAGAUUGAUCUCCGUUCAGGUUAUCACCAGUUGAAGAUCAGGGACUCGGAUAUUCUUAAGAUAACUUUGUGGACCCGAUAUGGUCAUUAUGAGUUCUUGGUGAUGUCUUUUGUGCUAACAAAUGCCCUAGCAACUUUCAUGCAUUUGAUAAACAGUGUGUUCCAGCCUUAUCUUGACUCGUUUGUCAUAGUUUUCAUUGAUGAUAUUCUGGUAUAUUCGCGUAGUUAGGAGGAGCACGCAGACAUUUGAGAGUUGUAUUACAGAUAUUGAGGGAGGAGAAGCUUUAUGAAAAAGUCUCCAACUGUGAGUUUUGGCUCAGUUCAGUGGCUUUCUUGGGGCAUGUGGUGUCCAGUGAGGUUAUUCAGGUUGAUCCGAAAAAGAUAAAGGAGGUACAGAAUUGGCCCAGACCGUCCUCAGCAAUAGAGAUUCGUAGCUUUCUUGGGUUGGUAGGAUAUUAUUGUCGGUUUGUUCAGGGAUUCUCAUCUAUCGCAUCGCCCUUGACCAAGUUGACUCAGAAGGGUGCUUCAUUUUUAUGGUCGGACGAGUGUGAGGAGAGCUUUUAAAAGCUCAAGACAUCUUUGACCAUAGCUCCAAUGUUGGUUUUGCCAUCACCUUCAGGUUCAUAUACUGUGAAUUGUGAUGCUUUGAGAGUUGGUAUUGGUUGUGUUUUGAUGUAUAAGGGUAGAUUUGUUGCUUAUGCUUCUCGUCAGUUGAAGCCCCAUGAGAAGAACUACCCCGUUCAUGAUUUAGAGUUGGCUUCCAUAGUUCACGCAUUGAAAAUUUGGAGGCAUUACUUGUAUGGUGUGUCUUGUGAGGUGUUUACUGAUCAUCGUAGUCUCCAGCAGUUUUUCAAGUAGAAGGAUCUUAAUUUGAGGCAGUAGAGAUGGAUGGAGUUACUUAAGGAUUAUGAUAUCACUAUAUUGUACCAUUCGGGAAAGGCCAAUGUGGUGGCCGAUGUUUUGAGCCGAAAGGCAGUGAGUAUGGGGUGUUUGGCAUAUAUUCCAAUUGGGUAGAGACCUCUUACAGUUGAUGUUCUGGCCUUGGCCAAUCGGUUCGUGAGAUUAGAUAUUUGGAACCCAGUCGGGUAUUGGCUUGUGUGGUUUCUCGGUCUUCCUUAUAUGAUCGCAUCAGAGAGCGCCAAUAUGAUGAUCCGCAUUUACUUGUCCUUAAGAACAGCGUUCAACAUGAUGAUGCCAGAGAUGUGACCAUUGGUGAUGAUGGGGUGUUGAGGAUUCAGGGCCGGAUUUAUGUGCCCAAUAUGGAUGGGAUUUAGGAGUUGAUUCUGGAUGAGGCCCAUAGCUCGCGGUAUUCCAUUCAUCCGGGUGCCGCAAAGAUAUAUCAGUAUUUGAGGCAACAAUAUUGGUGGAGAAGAAUGAAGAAAGACAUUGUGGGAUUUGUAGCUCGGUGUCUCAACUAUCAAUAGGUGAAAUAUGAGGAUCAAAGACCAGGUGAUUUACUUCAACAGAUGGAUAUUCUCGAGUGGAAGUGGGAGAGGAUCAAUAUGGACUUUAUUGUUGGACUUCCACGGACUUUGAGGAAGUUCGAUGCUAUUUGGGUGAUUGUGGAUAGGCUAACCAAGCUCGCGCACUUCAUUCUUGUAUGUACUACCUAUUCUUCAGAGCGGUUGGCAGAGAUCUAUAUCCGGGAGAUUUUUCAUUUGCACGAUGUCCCAGUUUCCAUCAUUUAAGAUAGGGGCACUCAGUUUACAUCGCAGUUUUGGAGGUCUGUGUAGCGAGAGUGGGGUACUCAGGUUGAGUUGAGCACGACUUUUCAUCCUCAUACGGACGGGCAGUCCGAGCGUACUAUUUAGAUAUUGGAGGACAUGUUGCGUACUUGUGUCAUUGAUUUCGGAGGGUCAUGGGAUCAGUUUCUACCGCUUGCAAAGUUUGCUUAUAACAACAGCUACCGGUCUAGUAUUCAGAUGGCUCCAUAUGAGGUUUUGUAUGGGAGGCGGUGUAGAUCUCUAGUUAGUUGGUUUGAGCCGGGCGAGGCUAGGCUAUUGGGGACAAACGUGGUGCAGGAUGCUUUGGAGAUGGUAAAGAUGAUUCAGGAGAGGCUUCGUACAACGCAAUCGAGGCAAAAGAUUUUUGUUGAUAGGAAGGUUCUAGAUGUGUCCUACAUGGUUGGCGAGAAGGUUCUGUUGAAGGUUUCACCCAUGAAGGGUGUUAUGAGAUUUGGGAAGAAAGGGAAACUGAGUACGCGGUUCAUUGGGCAUUUUGAGGUGCUUCGGAGGAUUAGGGAGGUGGCUUAUGAGUUUAUCUUGCCACCUAGAUUGUCGAGUGUGCAUCCAGUAUUCCCUAUUUCCAUGCUCCAGAAGUAUAUUGGGGAUCCAAUCUCAUGUUCUGGAUUUCAGCACGGUUCAGUUGGAUGAUGAUCUGACCUAUGAUGUGGAGCCAAUAGCUAUUUUGGGUCAUCAGGUUUGAAAGUUAAGGUCAAAGGAUAUAGCUUCAAUCAAAGUGCAGUGGAGAGGACGGCCCAUGGAGGAGGCUAUAUGCGAGACCGAGCGGGAGAUGCAGAGCAGAUACGCUCACAUGUUUGAGGCUUCAGGUAUGUUUCUUGACUCGUUCGAGGACAAACGUUUGUUUAAGUUGGGGAGGAUAUGACGACCCGGCCAGUCGUCUCAUGAGUUACUGCUCCAUUUCCCUCAUUUCUGAUUCUUUAUGCUUUGUUUAUCUGUUUUAUGGGAUAUCGGGUUGGUCAGAUCGAAUCCGGAAUGAUUUUUGUAAGGUUUGAGAUACUUAAUCUCUUUUAAGGAAGCUUAAGUUGGAAAAGUCAACCGAAUGCUGACUUAUGUGUUAAAGGUCUCGGAUGUGAGUUCCGGUGGUUCAGUUAGCUUCGGGAGGUGAUUUAUGGCUUAGGAGUGUGAUCGGAAUGAGUUUUGGAGGUUCGGAGUAGAUUUAGGCUUGAAUUGGCGAAGUUGAUAUUUUGGUGAUUUCCGGUUGGUAGGAGAGAUUUUAAUCUAGGGGUUGGAAUAGAAUUCUGAGAGUUGAAGUAGUUCCGUUGUGUCAUUUGGGAUGUGUGUGCAAAAUUUUAGGUCAUUCAGACGUGGUUUGGUUGGGUUUUCGAUCAAAAGCAGAAUUCGGAAGAUUUUAGAAAGUUUGGCUUGAAUCCAAGGUGUUUUGGAUGAUUCGAUGUUGUUUGAGAUGUUUUGAAGAUUGGUACAAGUUUGAAUAAGGUUUUGGGUUAUGCUGGUGCCUUUGGUUGAGGUCUCGGGGGCUUCGGGUGAGUUUUGGGUGGUCAAUCGGACCAUUUCGUGAAAUUUGGAGUUGCAAAGAUUGUAGGUUCAGCUGUUGUAGGGUUUUACUCUUCGCGUUCGCGAGUGGACCAUCGCGUUCGCGAAGAGUCAGUGGAAGUCAGUGGAAUUCUAGCCUUCUCAUUUGCGAGGGAGGCUCCGCGUUAGCGAAGGGAUGCUCGUGCAUCGAGUUCACGAAGGGUCUGAGGUCGAGUUUGUUCAUCGCAUUCACGAAGGGUAAGUUUGAGGAAGCAUCACGUUCGCUAUGGGGUGGCCGCGUUCACGAAGAAGCAAAUUAGGCCUGGGCAGAAGGUUUGAAAGGUCGUCUUGUCCGCAAAGGUUGGGUUUAUUUCUUCCAUUAUUGAUCGUUUUUGGAGCUUUUUGAAGGGGAUUGAAGAGGGAUUCAAGGGAAAUCACUUGGAGGUAAGAUUGUUGGACUUAAAACUCGAUUCUAAUGUGAAUUCCACCUAGUAAAUCAUGGAAAUUAAGCCAAAAAAUUGAAGAAUUAGGGCUUGGAAAUUUAGACUUUUGAUUGAGGAUUUGAAGGACCAUUUGAUGUCGGAUUUCAGAACUUUUGAUAUGUAUAAACUCGUGGGGAGAUAAGAAAUCUAUUGAUGUAAAAAUUAUCGAAGUCUGAGACGUGGGCCUGGGGUGGGGUUUUUGUAACUUCGGGAUUUGUGUCAUAUUUUGAUUGUUUUUGCUUGGGAUUCGUUCCUUUAGCAUAUUUUGACGUCCUCAUUCUAAUUUUGGAUAAAGUUGACGUGAGUAGAGGCCGAUUCGAGGGACAAAGGCAUCGUGAGCUAGAGAUUUGACCAGUUCGAAGUGAGCAAUGAUUGUAAAUGAUGUUUUGAUAGUUUAAAACCCCGGAUUGCACAUCGUAGUGCUAUAUUGAGGUGAGGCACACACUUGAUGGCGAGCGUGGGGUCAUGCACUAUAGGGGAUUGUGACUUGUUCCAUCCCGAUUGAUGAUUUUACCGCGUAUUCGACUGAAAUCUCUUUGCUAUCCUCAUGAUUUGGGCUGAAUGCCAUAUUUGGGCCUUGUGCCAACUAUUUGAACCCUUUGUGGAUUUCCUCACCGUUUUGACUUUUACUUCAACUCAAUCAUAUUAUAUUUCACUAUUUUCGUACUCAGACAUGUUUCCUUUGUUUUAACACUUACAUGAUCUUUUAAAUGAUAUUUUGGGCUGAGAUACAUGUUUUACUACUACCCAAGUGGUUUGUGAGGAUUUUUGACUGAGUAAGGCCGCUGGCCUAUGUUGGGAGGAAACAUUUGAUACUGAUUAUGAGGUGGAGGGCCGGAGAUAUGUACGCCAUGAGGUGGCUUGAUUGAUUAUGAGGUCUAGGGCCUAGUGAUGAUGCCACAAGGUGGCUUGAUAUUGCACUUUGGCCGUAAGAGGCCCUCCAGGAGUCUGUAUACCCCUAGUGAGCGCGGGUACCCAUUGUGAUGUGAGAUUUGAGCUCGAGGGGCUGGUAUUAUUCUAAGAUGUUGCCCGAGGGGCGGAUUUGUUGAUAUUGUGCCCGAGGGGAGAGCCUUUAUGUGUUUACUUUUCAUAAUUGACUGUCAAUUACCUGCUUAAUCAUUGAAAAAUACUUUUCGUGAAACUACAUUUGAGUUUUAGAAUUUUUACCUAUCUUUUCACUGGUUUACUGUUUUAAAUGGUUUUACUGCUUCAUUAUAUUAUGCUUUGUGCCUUACGUGUUUUCUCGCUUUCAGUCUUUAUUUACAUUUGUUACUCACUAAGUUGGAGUACUCAUUUUAUUCCCUACACCCUGUGUGCAGAUUCAAGCGUAGUUGGUUCCGCUCCCGAGUGCUGAUCCUUCCAGCUUCAGGCAGACAUUCGGAGUUCACGAGAUAGCUGCUUGGCGUCUGCAGACCCGUUUUUCUCCUUCUUUAUCACUUCUAUCUCUCUUCAGACAGUUGUACUAGUUUAUAGACUCAGAUUUGUAUCAAAGAAAUAACACUGAGAAAUAUAGAAACCAUGGAUAUAUGUAUCAACAGGUAUACAUCUCAG
RNAcentral lists this long non-coding RNA (9633 nucleotides) under Nicotiana tabacum (common tobacco). RNAcentral describes it as "long non-coding RNA (NTAB_LNC017237)". Lineage: Eukaryota; Viridiplantae; Streptophyta; Magnoliopsida; Solanales; Solanaceae. The record is from RNAcentral.